RNAcentral lists this ribosomal RNA (492 nucleotides) under uncultured bacterium. Its description in RNAcentral is "partial 16S ribosomal RNA". It matches the Rfam family "Bacterial small subunit ribosomal RNA", at positions 29 to 507 of the family's 1533-position model. The record is from RNAcentral.
AGUGAACGCUGGCGGUAGGCCUAACACAUGCAAGUCGAACGGCAGCACAGUAAGAGCUUGCUCUUACGGGUGGCGAGUGGCGGACGGGUGAGGAAUACAUCGGAAUCUACUUUUUCGUGGAGGAUAACGUAGGGAAACUUACGCUAAUACCGCAUACGACCUACGGGUGAAAGCAGGGGAUCUUCGGACCUUGCGCGAUUGAAUGAGCCGAUGUCGGAUUAGCUAGUUGGCGGGGUAAAGGCCCACCAAGGCGACGAUCCGUAGCUGGUCUGAGAGGAUGAUCAGCCACACUGGAACUGAGACACGGUCCAGACUCCUACGGGAGGCAGCAGUGGGGAAUAUUGGACAAUGGGCGAAAGCCUGAUCCAGCCAUACCGCGUGGGUGAAGAAGGCCUUCGGGUUGUAAAGCCCUUUUGUUGGGAAAGAAAAGCAGCAGGUUAAUACCCCGCUGUUCUGACGGUACCCAAAGAAUAAGCACCGGCUAACUUCGUG